UAAAUAACAUUUUGGCAGAAUUUUUGCAAAAGAUUUAGAAUCUUUCCAACCUAUC
Molecule: transfer RNA, 55 nt
Filed under: Dysdera madai
Lineage: Eukaryota; Metazoa; Arthropoda; Arachnida; Araneae; Dysderidae
Description: tRNA-Leu
Source: RNAcentral